Lathyrus oleraceus (garden pea) is the source of this 613-nucleotide long non-coding RNA. RefSeq lists it as uncharacterized. The transcript is spliced from 2 exons. Lineage: Eukaryota; Viridiplantae; Streptophyta; Magnoliopsida; Fabales; Fabaceae. The record is from RefSeq and is a predicted model, not a curated record.
GGGAGUUGUGGUGUAAGCAAUGAAGAAGGUUUGGGCCUAGCCCAAGCUCCAAGAUAAUCCAAAUGAAUCCGGUCACCAAAUUACCAUGGCCAUGUCAUUAGAAAUAAGCUCCCAGGUUAACAACGCUCAACACACAAUCAUACUCAAUAAAUUCAAAUCCACAUUUUCCAGUAUUCAACCAUCAUCAAGAACGCGACUUCGAAAAUGCGAAAACUCGAGCUAAAACUGAAAUGUAAACUCACCUGCGGCGUCUGUUCGAUCCAGCGUGAACCUCAACCAACUUCUCUGAUCCGUUCCGACGUCGGUGAUGCGUUGAGUGAAUGACAACGAUGAAACGCGCACUGGUAUAUCUUGAGGUUUUUGAUGCAAGAACUUGGAGUUGCAAUUGCUUUUGAAUGGGCAUUGGCUAGACUAUGGUUUUGAAGCUGUUUUGAAGCUAUCAUGUUCAUUAGGAUUGUUUUGGACUGUAAAUGUUAUGUAGAACAUUUGUAAUGUGAUUUUGGAAGUGUAUGGUUCUGCAUUGGCCAUCAAUUUAAAUGUAUGUAUGUGAUUGGAAUUUUGAAUGAAUAUAUGAUGGUUUAUGUAUGGAAUUUAUGUUUGGAGAUUGACUUAA